UUUCCACGCCACUUAACAGUCACAGUGGUGCCAGGCUCAAUGCUUGAGAGAUCAACCUCAAUCGAAGCAAGUGCAAGAACGUCCUUGCUAGCAGACAUGCUCAACACAAACUUGAGAAUAAGGAGACGGACCACUGAAGCAUAGACAAAACGGCCACCAGUAAGGACAAAAUAGGCAAAUGCCCGCUUGCUGGGAUCACCUGGAGGGAAACGCUCAUGGUUGUACUCAUCAUAAACUAUCUUUGAAGUGGGGUUCUUAACAGCUGCCACUGUUGCUGGAA
This 280-nucleotide unclassified non-coding RNA is filed under the name Hevea brasiliensis (rubber tree). The record is from RNAcentral. Lineage: Eukaryota; Viridiplantae; Streptophyta; Magnoliopsida; Malpighiales; Euphorbiaceae.